GGCCGGGAUAGCCCAGGGAAACCUGGAUUAAUACCGGAUGAGACGGGGACCCGCGAUGGCGGGAUCCGGGAAAGGCGCUGCGGCGCCGCCGGGGGAUGAGUCUGCGUCCCAUUAGCUAGACGGCGGGGUAACGGCUCACCGUGGCGACGAUGGGUAGCCGGCCUGAGAGGGUGGACGGCCACAUUGGAACUGAGACACGGUCCAGACUCCUACGGGAGGCAGCAGCUAAGAAUCUUCCGCAAUGGGCGAAAGCCUGACGGAGCGACGCCCGCGUGAACGAAGAAGGCCGUGAGGUUGUAAAGUUCUUUUCGGGAGGGGGAACAACCGUGGCAGGGAAUGGCCGCGGGAUGACGUGAAUCCCGGAAUAAGCCCCGGCUAACUACGUGCCAGCAGCUGC
This 397-nucleotide ribosomal RNA is filed under the name uncultured bacterium. RNAcentral's name for it is "bacterial SSU rRNA". It matches the Rfam family "Bacterial small subunit ribosomal RNA", at positions 136 to 518 of the family's 1533-position model. The record is from RNAcentral.